UACGUAGGGGGCAAGCGUUGUCCGGAUUUAUUGGGCGUAAAGAGCGUGUAGGCGGCCAGACAGGUCUGCUGUGAAAACUCGAGGCUCAACCUCGAGACGCCGGUGGAAACCGUUUGGCUAGAGUCCGGAAGAGGAGAGUGGAAUUCCUGGUGUAGCGGUGAAAUGCGCAGAUAUCAGGAAGAACACCCGUGGCUAAGGCGGCUCUCUAGUACGGUACUGACGCUGAGACGCGAAAGCGUGGGGAGCGAACCGG
This 253-nucleotide ribosomal RNA is filed under the name uncultured bacterium. RNAcentral's name for it is "partial 16S ribosomal RNA". It matches the Rfam family "Bacterial small subunit ribosomal RNA", at positions 524 to 776 of the family's 1533-position model. The record is from RNAcentral.